This is a long non-coding RNA of Erinaceus europaeus (western European hedgehog), 715 nucleotides long. RefSeq lists it as uncharacterized. The record is from RefSeq and is a predicted model, not a curated record. The transcript is spliced from 4 exons. NCBI's taxonomy places the organism in Eukaryota, Metazoa, Chordata, Mammalia, Eulipotyphla, Erinaceidae.
UGCAAUUGCUUCUCUGCUAGAUAUGAGUGUUGGCAGGUUGAUCCAUAUUCCCAGUCUGUUUCUAUCUUUCUCUAGUGGGGCAGGGCUCUGGAGAGGUGGGGUUUCAGAACACAUUGGUGAGGUCAUCUGUCCAGGAAAGUCAGGUUGGUGUCGUGGCAGUACCUGAAGCUUGGUGACAGAGUAGUGGAGCUGAAGGGUUGACAUCCCAAGCCUGGUGUCUCUGGACAAAGGAAGCAGGUUUUAAGGAACAUCAAGACCUUGGAUGUAUAACUUUGCUCUUCCCCCUGCUGAUACCAUUCUUUGGAGAAAAUUUACUUUCACUUUUGGAAUUGCUUGAGGACUUGGGCUCUUCAUCUCCCUACCCCACCAGGACCUGACGAGCCCAUAUGUGGGUAAGAGGCACUCAGAAGCCUGGCCUUUCCCUGCUGUUCCUGGCACAGCUGCUGACUUGUGGCCUCAAGUGACAGCCACCAAAUUGCAGAUGCUACCAUAAUAACAACUUGACUUCUCUGGGCAUAUGAACUCACCAAUGUGUCCUGGAACCUGACCUUGCCUGAUCCCUAUCCAUUAGGGAAAGAUAGAAAUAGGCUGGGGUUAUGGAUUGACCUGCCAACACCCAUGUCUAGUGGAGAAGCAAUUACGGAAGCCAGACCCCCCACCUUCUGCACUCCAUACAGAUCUGUGAUCUAUAUUCCCAGAGGGAUAAAGAACAGGG